GGAAGGGGUGUAUUUAUUAGAUUAAAAACCAAUGCCCUCCGGGGCUCACUGGUGAUUCAUAAUAACUUCUCGAAUCGCAUGGCCUUGCGCCGGCGAUGGUUCAUUCAAAUUUCUUCCCUAUCAACUUUCGAUGUUUGGGUAUUGGCCAAACAUGGUUGCAACGGGUAACGGAGGGUUAGGGCUCGACCCCGGAGAAGGAGCCUGAGAAACGGCUACUACAUCCAAGGAAGGCAGCAGGCGCGCAAAUUACCCAAUCCCGACUCGGGGAGGUAGUGACAAUAAAUACUGAUACAGGGCUCUUUUGGGUCUUGUAAUUGGAAUGAGUACAAUUUAAAUCCCUUAACGAGGAACAAUUGGAGGGCAAGUCUGGUGCCAGCAGCCGCGGUAAUUCCAGCUCCAAUAGCGUAUAUUAAAGUUGUUGUGGUUAAAAAGCUCGUAGUUGAACCUUGGGCCUGGCUGGCCGGUCCGCCUCACCGCGUGUACUGGUCCGGCCGGGCCUUUCCCUCUGUGGAACCCCAUGCCCUUCACUGGGUGUGGCGGGGAACCAGGACUUUUACA
This 558-nucleotide ribosomal RNA is filed under the name uncultured Fusarium. RNAcentral describes it as "SSU rRNA". It matches the Rfam family "Eukaryotic small subunit ribosomal RNA", at positions 194 to 756 of the family's 1831-position model. Lineage: Eukaryota; Fungi; Ascomycota; Sordariomycetes; Hypocreales; Nectriaceae. The record is from RNAcentral.